AAAGCACAUUGCGCCCCUUGGUAUUCCAUGGGGCAUGCCUGUUCGAGCGUCAUUUGUACCCUCAAGCUCUGCUUGGUGUUGGGUGUUUGUCCCGCUUUUCGCGUGGACUCGCCUUAAAACAAUUGGCAGCCGGCAUAUUGGCCUGGAGCGCAGCACAUUUUGCGCCUCUUGUCAUGAUUGUUGGCAUCCAUCAAGACUAUUUUUUACUCUUGACCUCGGAUCAGGUAGGGAUACCCGCUGAACUUAA
This 247-nucleotide unclassified non-coding RNA is filed under the name uncultured Acicuseptoria. RNAcentral describes it as "sequence contains ITS2". Lineage: Eukaryota; Fungi; Ascomycota; Dothideomycetes; Pleosporales; Leptosphaeriaceae. The record is from RNAcentral.